RNAcentral lists this transfer RNA (74 nucleotides) under Blautia glucerasea. Its description in RNAcentral is "tRNA-Lys". It matches the Rfam family "tRNA". From Rfam's summary of the family: Transfer RNA (tRNA) molecules are approximately 80 nucleotides in length. Their secondary structure includes four short double-helical elements and three loops (D, anti-codon, and T loops). RNAcentral also lists the same sequence under 8 other names. The record is from RNAcentral. Lineage: Bacteria; Bacillati; Bacillota; Clostridia; Lachnospirales; Lachnospiraceae.
GCCUGUAUAGCUUAGUUUGGUAGAGCAGGAAACUCUUAAUUUCAAGGUCCAGAGUUCAAAUCUCUGUGCAGGCA